This 253-nucleotide ribosomal RNA is filed under the name uncultured bacterium. RNAcentral's name for it is "partial 16S ribosomal RNA". It matches the Rfam family "Bacterial small subunit ribosomal RNA", at positions 524 to 776 of the family's 1533-position model. The record is from RNAcentral.
UACGUAGGAGGCAAGCGUUGUCCGGAAUCACUGGGCGUAAAGCGCGUGUAGGCGGAUCGCUAAGUCUGUGGUGAAAGCGCCUGGCUUAACCGGGCGAGGUCCAUGGAAACUAGCGGUCUGGAGGCCGGUAGAGGGGGGUGGAAUUCCGGGUGUAGUGGUGAAAUGCGUAGAGAUCCGGAGGAACACCAGUGGCGAAGGCGGCCCCCUGGGCCGCGCCUGACGCUGAUCCGCGACAGCAUGGGGAGCGAACGGG